UCAAGGUGACGUGAUCCGGCCCCUGUGGAAGCAGGUGGAGCUGCUCUUCAACACAAGAUACGGUCAGACAAGGGCGGCAUGUCUGAAGACUGUGGGCCAGGAACCUCCGGGGAGCUGGGUUGGCUGAAGCCAAUCAAAAUUGAGCCAGAGGAUCUGGACAUCAUUGCGGUCACUGUCCCAAGUAAGCGACGGACAUCUGACCACCCCCUGCAGAAAUGAGGACCGUAACAUAAGCCUCCUGAGGGUCUGCCCUGGUGAAGAAGAGGCCUCCAGGCCACUGUUUCUCUCCAUGGAUUCUGAGGCCCACCUGGGUAUUGUGAAUUCUUUCUCUGGCCACAUCUGCCCCCUGCAUUGUGAACCAGUGUUCUUAGCUCUGACGUUCCAGAAGAUCCCCUCAAACAUCACCUCCCUGGCUUGGCUUCCCUGGGAUUUGUGAGGCUGGAGAGAAGAAAAAGGCAUAAGCCUGAGAGGCUCCAAGUUGGACCCUACCCCCUGCCAAGCCUCAUUUUCCACAUCUUCAGAGGAGAGGGUAGAUUUGGGCACUGGAGCCUCAGUAUGGGGUGACUGUCAGAAGCCAAGAGGGUGCCGGACGCAGUGGCUCAUACUUGUAAUCCCGGCAUUUUGGGUGGCUGACAUGGGAGGAUUGCUUGAGGCCAGGAGUUCAAGACCAGACUGGGCAACAUAAAAAGACCCCCCAUCUCUACAAAAAAUACAAAACAUUAGCCAAAUGUGGUGGUGUGUGACUGUCAGUGCAGCUUCUCAGGAGGCUGAGGCAGGAGAAUCACUUGAGCCCAAGAGUUGGAGGCUGCAGUGAGCUGUGAUCACACCACUGCACUGCAGCCUGGGCAACCAGAGGAAGACCCUGUCUCAAAA
Molecule: long non-coding RNA, 873 nt
Filed under: Homo sapiens (human)
Lineage: Eukaryota; Metazoa; Chordata; Mammalia; Primates; Hominidae
Description: non-protein coding lnc-SBDS-27:1
Source: RNAcentral